AUGCCACCUGCCAAUGAGAAAGACAAAGUUGUGUCCCUGUUGGUCAAAGAAACGCAGCCUGAAGACGAGGGUCCUUAUGAGUGUGUGGUGAACACUGACAGUGGAAUCACAAAUUGUAACUGCAUGCUGAAGCUCACAGUACGAGACCAGCACCAGGGUCCUGGAAAUGUUGCGGAUAAACAGGAGAUUCCAAAGAACAGUUACAUGAGUGUGGCUGCUGUAUGUGUGGUAGUAGGCUCUCUUGCCAUUGGACUGCUGCUUCUCAAGCUGUUUCAAGCCAGAAGACUCAGACAAGGAGAAAUGGAGUGCACGCAUUGUCCUGCUAUCAAGCUAAUUGUUAGCAGCAUUGUCUGUAGUUGUUAAUCACACCAGACUAUUCUUUCAUAAUUGUUUUAUAUAUUGUAACUAAAACCUGAUAUGAAACAAAUGCACAUAUUUAGUGGACAUUGAUUUGAUAGUGAAGACACUAGUGUGAUACAGUAGCAGUGUGUGAAAUUGAUCUUGACAGAACACAUUUACUUUGUGCAUCACAAUUUGAAUAAGUAAUUUAUUCAGAAGCCAAUAUUGUGUUUUAGUUAAUUUGAGAGUUGCUUUAGUUGACAAAUGCCAUGUUUUUUAUUGUUACAAAGUGGGAUUCAAAUGUAUUUAAUUGUCAUUUUUUUGUAAACAAUCUACAUAAAAUACUGUCAAAGUGUAAGAAGAAAUAACCCGAACAGCUGUGUUAUGUUUUAUGCUGUUGGUUGUGUUGUACUUACCAGUACGCAGUGUUCGCGGGGUCCGACAUGCCAGUCAAUCUGCUAUCUGCCAACCACGGGAAUGCCUGGAAUGUUCUUGUGCCGGGCAUCCUGGUGGCUGGUGGAGCAUCGCAGGUUUACUUCUGGUCUUUACAAGACAUAUCUAUGCUUAUUUAUUUUAUCUUGUGUCCUUUACCAUUUGUACAUUGUUAAAACACUGUAUAUAUAUAAUAUGACAUUUGUAAUGUAUUUAUUGUUUUGAAACUUCUAUGUGUGAUGUUUACUGUUAAUUUUUAUUGUUUAUUUCACUUUAUAUAUUCACUUUAUAUAUUGUCCACCUCACUUGCUUUGGCAAUGUUAACACAUGUUUCCCAUGCCAAUAAAGCCCUUGAAUUGAAUUGGUCACGGUUGUUUGUAUGGAUAUCCUUCAUUUAUUUGGCGUGGGCUAUGGCCGAACAGUAGCCUGUGUGGAGUUGGGUUAAUAAACUGUGAAUUCGUCAACUCAACCCUCUGUCUGGACAAUUGUAUCUUUAU
This 1268-nucleotide long non-coding RNA is filed under the name Oncorhynchus kisutch (coho salmon). RNAcentral's name for it is "lncRNA (ENSOKIG00005047631.1)". Lineage: Eukaryota; Metazoa; Chordata; Actinopteri; Salmoniformes; Salmonidae. The record is from RNAcentral.